This is an RNA transcript of Anneissia japonica, 546 nucleotides long. RefSeq lists it as uncharacterized. The transcript has 3 exons. Lineage: Eukaryota; Metazoa; Echinodermata; Crinoidea; Comatulida; Comatulidae. The record is from RefSeq and is a predicted model, not a curated record.
AUUACAUCACAACCAUAUAUAGGCACAUCAUGGCUAUGGGCAUACAACAUCUUCACACGUCUUUGAAUUGUAGAUGCUUGGUUGUUCAAAUGAAGGGGAAGACAGUGGAAGUGGUCGAGAGGAAAAACGUUCUCCACACAAGAACACCGACAAAGUCAACAAGAAGUUUCUAUGGAACCAUGGAUUAACACCUCCACUAAAGAAUGUGAGAAAAUGAAGGUUCAGAAAAACAGCCAAGAAAUAGUACAUAGAAUCACCAGAUAUUGAGAAAGAAGUGAAAAGACUACUAAGAAUGGACAGCACAGCUAUCAGAGUCCGUAUCCUUUCAUCCGAUUUAUACUAUUUUGAGGAAUUUUAUCUAUUGUUUGAAUUGUGAGUAGCAGCAGUUAUUUAAUUAACAUUUGAGGCUUGUCAUCCUAAAACCAGCAAACUGUCACUAAAUGAGUAAUUAGCAAAGAAUGUGGCAGUAUUGUGUACUUUAGUACAGAGAAGCUGUAAUACUUUUAUUCAUAACUUUAGUAAUAGUGAGUCGAUUCCAGUAAACGA